UUAAGUUCAGCGGGUAUCCCUACCUGAUCCGAGGUCAACCAUAGAAAAAUGGGGGGUUUUGGCAAGCCACCACCUGGACCCUAUAGCGAGAGAAUUACUACGCUUAGAGCCAGACGGCACCGCCACUGAUUUUAAGGGCCGCGAGACCGCGGGACCCCAAGACAAGCCGAGGCUUGAGUGGUUAUAAUGACGCUCGAACA
This 200-nucleotide unclassified non-coding RNA is filed under the name Helotiales sp. RNAcentral describes it as "partial internal transcribed spacer 2". The record is from RNAcentral. Lineage: Eukaryota; Fungi; Ascomycota; Leotiomycetes; Helotiales.